UCUUGACCUCAAAUCAGGCAAGGCUACCCGCUGAAUUUAA
This 40-nucleotide ribosomal RNA is filed under the name Porites lobata. RNAcentral describes it as "partial 28S ribosomal RNA". The record is from RNAcentral. Lineage: Eukaryota; Metazoa; Cnidaria; Anthozoa; Scleractinia; Poritidae.